CAGCAGAAGUGAUGAGGGUCACAUCCUGAUCUUGCCCUCAAAAAAUUGGUAGUAUCAUCGACCCCUUGUGCCCAGUCCCUUUCCCCCUUUCCACUGCUGGAAGGAGAGGAGAAGAACCAGGGUAUCUCCUUAGACACAGAAAUGGAAAGCACGUAUUAAGGAUGUGGAGCUACCCCAGCAGCCCUGACCUGCUGACCUCCAGACUGUGACAUGGAAACAGAUCAACUUCUCUCUUGGCAUUAAGUCUGACACUGGGGACAUCAAAACGGAUAACACAUGGCCCUGGAUCUCAAGGAACCUGCCGCCUGAUGGAAAAUAAAAGAGAG
RNAcentral lists this long non-coding RNA (326 nucleotides) under Homo sapiens (human). RNAcentral describes it as "non-protein coding lnc-ATP5PO-1:3". Lineage: Eukaryota; Metazoa; Chordata; Mammalia; Primates; Hominidae. The record is from RNAcentral.